Non-coding RNA from Nemania sp. FL0031, 110 nucleotides. Lineage: Eukaryota; Fungi; Ascomycota; Sordariomycetes; Xylariales; Xylariaceae. The record is from the annotation of a GenBank genome assembly.
GGUCCCAUAGCUCAGUUGGUCAGAGCGUCGUACUAAUAUUAUAUCUACGCUACUAGAUGUAAUAUCAUGAGUCAAUGCGAAGGCCGUGAGUUCAAGCCUCACUGGGACCA